GGAGGUGUAAGAAAAAAUCAUAGUUCAGAGGUAGAUGCAAUUAUCCAAACAAGAGGGAUUUUUUCGUAAAUUGACCAUGCCUCAGGGGUGGUUGUAAUUUACCCUUAAGUAAAUUAUACCAUCGAUCAUGAAUAUCAAUUAUACAUAUAGAAUAACGUAAAAUAUCCACAAGAUCGCCGAGCUUUAUUUACGACUCAAUUAGCCCGAGGAUCGCCUAUAGCAAGUCAACAAUGAAAAGCAUCGAAAAAAUAAUAUAAGCUAAACUUCAAUAUAUAAUGCCAAACAUGUCAUUACGAAAAACGACCACAAACGAAAAGACUUUCCGACAUUUCAAAAUAUUUUAGACGAGACAAACAAGAAUCUACAUAUAGAAAUUAACAAUAUACUAGCCUUGGCAAAGAGGAAUAUUCCCAACCGAUUCUUCUUGUUCCGAGGGCUUUACUUAUUUGCAGUUGCAGCAGCUUCAAGAGCAUCGAGACGAGCAUUGAUUUGCUUCUGGGCUUCGAGUAUAUCUCGAAGAAUGGCGUCAUUCCCCACACCACCACAUCUAACACUAACCACUCUGUGUUGACGAACGACUGCAUCGAUACGAGUAACUAUUUCAUAUCCACGAUCGAGAUCGUCAUCGGCCAUAUUUACGACCACGAACUGCAGAAAAUUCAUUUCAAGGUGAAUGAAUACUUACAUUUUAAAAUAAAAUAACAUAUCUUUAGAACAAAAUUAAAAAAAUAAUAAUCAGGAUAAUCUCAAGCCAAAUUUUGAUAUUUUAGGGAAAAAAAAUUCCUUUUUUUUUUUCUCUUGAUUUUUUUCGUAAUUAUACACUACAUUCUAUGGAUUCAUAAUUUCACAACAAGAAAUCAAGAAUACUUUUUUACCCUUUCAUGCUAAAAUAAUGGACUUCAAAUUCUAGGCCAGGCUAAUUUUUUUACACGCAAUACAAAAUGUGUGUGUGUGUGUGUUCGAUUGUGUGUGGAAAAGGUUAGGGAGUCGAAAGAAGAACAAGAAACCCCAAAAAAUUACCUUAACGGUGGCGAGGCGGCGGCGUUGCAGAGACGAACUGAAGAAGUGGCGGUGCAGUAAAAACAACGAAAAUUGACCGAGAUAACAAUGAAGAUGAAAUUAGGGUUUAUUAGUUACUAGAGGUAACGCCUCCGGUAGCCUGGUUCAUUAAAUACUUCUAUUUAAGCGAUUUCAGGUCAAACUGUAAGUAACCGGAGCUUCCCACACCGUCGAAGGGGUGAGCUAAAAAAAACCGCGAAAACCGAAUUGAAAACCCAAAAAGCGG
RNAcentral lists this long non-coding RNA (1285 nucleotides) under Erythranthe guttata (spotted monkey flower). RNAcentral's name for it is "long non-coding RNA (EGUT_LNC000747)". Lineage: Eukaryota; Viridiplantae; Streptophyta; Magnoliopsida; Lamiales; Phrymaceae. The record is from RNAcentral.